Long non-coding RNA from Neolamprologus brichardi, 421 nucleotides. RefSeq lists it as uncharacterized. NCBI's taxonomy places the organism in Eukaryota, Metazoa, Chordata, Actinopteri, Cichliformes, Cichlidae. The record is from RefSeq and is a predicted model, not a curated record.
UAUCUUUGACGUAUUUUCUCUGUUAAUGCCGUGAAAAGUGCUUCGGCAGUAUUAAAAGAGUGAACGAGUUCAUGUACACGUUAAAAGUGCCCUACACGCUUGUACCUUGGGAAACGUUCGUCUUUGAAGAUGAACAGACGGCUCUCCCUGAGACGAGACAGACAGCUCAUCCAGCUUUCAGGGUCCAGGAUGAUUUAAUUCUGCUCUGCUCAAGGCUUCUGUAUUGUCUACCAUCCUCUGUUGGCCAUGAGAGAGGCCUUUGUGCGAGCCACUUUCUUCCAGUUCUGCCUACAUGGACUUCACAGAGUGGGUCACUCAAAAAGAGUGGCACACAAUGAGAUCAGUGUUUAGGCAUGCAGAUAUCAUGACAGCUUAAUAAAAAAUGCCUAAACAGAGUGCUUUGUCAUGGAGCUUUUUCCUG